AGAGCGAACGCUGGCGGCAGGCUUAACACAUGCAAGUCGAGCGGGCGUAGCAAUACGUCAGCGGCAGACGGGUGAGUAACGCGUGGGAACGUACCUUUUGGUUCGGAACAACACAGGGAAACUUGUGCUAAUACCGGAUAAGCCCUUACGGGGAAAGAUUUAUCGCCAAAAGAUCGGCCCGCGUCUGAUUAGCUAGUUGGUGAGGUAACGGCUCACCAAGGCGACGAUCAGUAGCUGGUCUGAGAGGAUGAUCAGCCACAUUGGGACUGAGACACGGCCCAAACUCCUACGGGAGGCAGCAGUGGGGAAUAUUGGACAAUGGGCGCAAGCCUGAUCCAGCCAUGCCGCGUGAGUGAUGAAGGCCCUAGGGUUGUAAAGCUCUUUUGUGCGGGAAGAUAAUGGACGGUACCGCAAGAAUAAGCCCGGCUAACUUCGUGCCAGCAGCCGC
Molecule: ribosomal RNA, 448 nt
Filed under: uncultured bacterium
Lineage: Bacteria
Description: SSU rRNA
Rfam family: Bacterial small subunit ribosomal RNA
Source: RNAcentral